UUUCCGUAGGUGAACCUGCGGAAGGAUCAUUAGUGAAUUGAAUAUGUUAGCGACCUCUUCGGAGUCCCUAGCAUCAAAUCAUAUCCAUAACACCUGUGAACUGUAAGGCUGUCUUGAGAACGAAAGUGAUUAGAGCGCCUGCCCAUUUUAUACAAACAUUAAAGUAACAAACGUAGUCUUAUUAUAAUCUAAUAAAACUUUCAACAACGGAUCUCUUGGCUCUC
Molecule: unclassified non-coding RNA, 224 nt
Filed under: plant metagenome
Description: partial contains small subunit ribosomal RNA, internal transcribed spacer 1, and 5.8S ribosomal RNA
Source: RNAcentral